Molecule: ribosomal RNA, 467 nt
Filed under: uncultured bacterium
Lineage: Bacteria
Description: partial 16S ribosomal RNA
Rfam family: Bacterial small subunit ribosomal RNA
Source: RNAcentral
GACGAACGCUGGCGGCGUGCUUAACACAUGCAAGUCGAACGGAAAGGCCUCUUUCGGGGGGUACUCGAGUGGCGAACGGGUGAGUAACACGUGAGUAACCUGCCCUUGACUUUGGGAUAACUUCAGGAAACUGGGGCUAAUACCGGAUAGGAGCUCCUGCUGCAUGGUGGGGGUUGGAAAGUUUCGGCGGUUGGGGAUGGACUCGCGGCUUAUCAGCUUGUUGGUGGGGUAGUGGCUUACCAAGGCUUUGACGGGUAGCCGGCCUGAGAGGGUGACCGGCAACAGUGGGACUGAGAUACGGCCCAGACUCCUACGGGAGGCAGCAGUGGGGAAUAUUGCACAAUGGGUGGAAGCCUGAUGCAGCAACGCCGUGUGCGGGAAGACGGCCUUCGGGUUGGAAACCGCUUUCGCUCAUGACGAAGCUUUGUGUGACGGUAGUGGGUAAAGAAGCACCGGCUAACUACGUG